CUACGGGUGGCACCAGGCGCGAAACCUUUACAAUGCACGAGAGUGUGAUAAGGGGAUUCCGAGUGCUGUAGUUAAAACUGCAGCUUUUAUUGAGUUUAAAUCGCUCUUUGAAUAAGGGGUGGGUAAGACGGGUGCCAGCCGCCGCGGUAAUACCCGCGCCUCGAGUGGUAUUCACUUUUAUUGGGUUUAAAGCGUUCGUAGCCGGUCUAACAAGUUCCUGGUGAAAUUCCACUGUAAACGGUGGAGCUUGCUGGGAAGACUGUUAGACUUGGGACCGGGAGAGGGCAGAGGUACUCAUGAGGUAGGGGUAAAAUCCUGUAAUCUUAUGGGGACCACCUGUGGCGAAGGCGUCUGCCUGGAACGGGUCCGACGGUGAUGGACGAAAGCUAGGGGAGCGAUCGGGAUUAGAUACCCCAGUAGUC
Molecule: ribosomal RNA, 422 nt
Filed under: uncultured archaeon
Lineage: Archaea
Description: partial 16S ribosomal RNA
Rfam family: Archaeal small subunit ribosomal RNA
Source: RNAcentral